UGCCCGUCGGCUCCAUUACUCCUCCUCAUUCUCCUCCGCCUUACCCCUCUCCUCGCCGACCUUCGCUGUCUUCGGCGCCAACACCGGCGUCGGCAAGACCCUCGUCUCCGCUGGCCUCGCCGCCUCCCUCCUCCGUUCCCACGCCGCUUCCCCCUCUGCCGUCCUCUACCUCAAACCGCUCCAGACCGGCUUCCCCGACGAUUCCGACGCGGGGUUCCUCUACCGCAGGGUCCCCGCGCUUCUCCGCCCCUCCCACGCCGCGCACCUCGCCGCCUCCAUCGACACCCUCUCCCCUGCCCCGUCAGUGGAAACCCAAUCCCCUUCCCGCGAGGAGGCGGCCUUCUCCUACGACGGGGAGGGUGAGGCGGUGAGGAAGCUUCUGGCUUGCAGGACGCUGUACGCAUGGCGGGAGGCGGUGUCGCCGCACCUGGCGGCGGAGAGGGAGGGGAUGGCGGUAGAAGACGCGCAUGUGAGGUCGCUCCUGGCAGCGUGCCUCGUCGAGGGGGAAAAUUUGGGGAAGGGGGAGGGGGAUGUGUGGAAGCUGGUCGAGACUGCCGGCGGCGUGGCCAGCCCGGGCCCGUCUGGCACGCUGCAGUGCGAUCUCUACAGGUGCGUUGUAAUGCCUCUUCAGCGGUAAAUUUGCUGUUUUACUUAUUUAAUGUUACCAAACGCGUACUAGUAAGCAUGUUUUGCGGGGUGUUUAGUUUGAAUUAAUUGAUUUCUCAGAAAAAGAAGUCUGAAUUAAUCGAGGGAAUGAAAUGGUGCGCAAUUUAGUGUAUGAUGCAAUUGACGUUUCUGUUAUAUAUACUUGUUUCCAGUGUUUAGUUCAGUGGUAUAGUCUGAUGUUUGUUCUGUCUAUUCACAAGGGAUCUCAAUACCUAAAAAAAUCAUUAGCUUCUUCCAUUGAAAUCACUAUCACAUUGGUAGUUUGUAAGAAGAUAUCAUGCAAGCUGGAGAUAACAAUGGUGGUUAGCGAGCAUGAUAAUUGCGGUGAACGAUCUGCUGCUUUGAAGUUCUCUUGAUGUUAUAUGUUGGAUAUCGUGCUGAUUUGUUGUGUUUUCAACCUUUCAUUAACUGGAUCAAAUUUAUGUUUUUAUUUUACAAGUGCUGAAAGUAAUCACAUAUUUGGUGACCGUUUCUGAAAUAUUUCUGAUGUAUGUCUACACGCUCAUCUCUUCUUUUAACAUGCUUUGUUUCUUGGGAACUUAUGGUGUUAUUACCAGACAUCGAGCAUACUUUGAAAUUCUUUUAACCAUGGUUGAACUGGUUACAUCAUUACAUCUAUUUUUAAAGAACCUUGUGGCCUAUUUAACUGUUUGCACAAGCUUCUUUACUGCUAGGUUUAUUAGACUGAUUUACAUCAACACACCUCGUGAUUACGUGACUCUUGGCAGGCAGUUUAGGUUGCCUACUAUUCUUGUUGGAGAUGGUCGUCUUGGUGGUAUUUCAUGCACUUUAUCGGCAUAUGAAACUUUGUUGCUCAGGGGGUAUGAUGUUAGCGCAGUAAUUUUGGAAGAUCAUGGUUUGUCAAACAACAAGUUCUUGCUUUCUUACUUAAGAAACAGGUAACACGGUUCAGUCUUUUUGUUAUUUUUAUAAAUGUUUUAGCAGCUCCAAUUUCAUUGAUACGACAACUUCACAAUGUUUGUACUAUUUAGGGUACCAGUGCUUGUUUUGCCACCUAUUCCAGAAGAUCCAUCAGAUGACCUAACUGAUUGGUUUUCCGAAUCAUCUUCAGUUUUUGGUUUGCUUGAAGAUGCCCUGCGAUCUUUUCAUUUGACAAGAAUUCNNNNNNNNNNNNNNNNNNNNNNNNNNNNNNNNNNNNNNNNNNNNNNNNNNNNNNNNNNNNNNNNNNNNNNNNNNNNNNNNNNNNNNNNNNNNNNNNNNNNAAACUAGCAUGACAGAAAUUCCGGUGUGUCCUCGGGAGCGUUUUUCCUCCUAUAGGACUUUGUUUAGGCUUGUACCUUGCUACAAAAGGGAUUGGACCACUUGAUGCACCAUUGCUACUACUUGUUACUUGUUACUCUUGGCUUGCUACGUUUCACCUCGCUACACAAUCACUUGUUACCGCUACUUUCAGUGCUUGCAGUUAUUACCUUGCUGAAAUCCGUUUAUCAGAGCCUUCUGCCCCUCGUUGGGUUCGACACUCUUACUUAUUGAAAGGACUACGAUUGAUCCCCUAUACUUGUGGUUCAUCAAGACUCUUUUCUGGCGCCGUUGCUGGAGAGUGAAGCGCCUUUGGUAAGUGGAAAUUGGUAAGGAAACAUUUAUAUACUGUGCUGAAAUUUAUUGUCACUUGUCACUAUGGAAACUCUUCCUUUGAGGAGUUUGUUCGGGGUAUCUUCACCACGAACGGAAGCACGAGGAGUUGCUCCUCAACCUGAGGUACCUACUGAAAAUAUCUUUUAUGAAAUUCCUUUGGGUAUGCUUGAGAAACUGCUGGCUAAUCCUUUUACAGGAGAUGGAUCUUCACAUCCAGACUUUCAUCUAAUCUAUGUAGAUGAAGUUUGUGGUUUAUUUAAGCUUGCAGGUUUGCCCGAGGAUGCGGUAAAGAAGAAAGUCUUUCCUUUAUCUUUGAAGGAUAAGGCGUUGACAUGGUAUAGGCUAUGUGAAGAUGCUGGAUCAUGGGGCUACAAUCGGUUGAAAUUGGAAUUUCAUCAAAAGUUCUAUCCUAUGCAUUUAGUACAUCGUGAUCGGAACUUUAUUUAUAACUUUUGGCCUCGUGACAGGGAAAGCAUAGCUCAAGCUUGGGGGAGGCUUAAAUCAAUGCUAUAUUCAUGCCCCAAUCAUGAGCUCUCGAGAGAAAUCAUCACUCAAAACUUUUAUGCUCGGCUUUCUCAUGAAGAUCGUACCAUGCUUGACACUUCUUGUGCCGGUUCUUUUAUGAAGAAGGAUAUUGAUCACAAGUGGAAUUUAUUGGAGAGAAUCAAACGCAACUCUGAAGAUUGGGAGCUAGAGGAAGGUAAGGACUCAGGUAUGAAUUUCCAGUUUGAUUGUGUUAAAUCUUUUGUUGAGACAAACACUUCUAGAGAUUUUAGCGCUAAGUAUGGACUUGACUCUGAGAUAGUAGCUUCUCUAUGUGAAUAUUUUGUUGCUCAUGUUGAUCUUCCCAAGUAGAAGUGGUUUAGAUAUCAUCCUCCUGUAGAAAGCAACAGAGCCAAAACCAAUCUAGUUGAGGAGAAAAUCAUAGCUUUUAGUGAUCUAUUGUUCCUUGUGCUUACACUGAGAAACCACCAUACCCUGCUAGGAUGAAGGAUUAUUCUAAAGCUCCAACUGUGAUACGUAGGGGUUACAUUAGACCACUUGCACCCCCUGGAGAGAUUAGAGUUGAACCUAGUGUUGCUAUUAUCAAAGAUCUCUUAGCCGAAGACAUAGACGGGCAUGUUAUAAAAUUCUGUGAGGACUCCGCUAGAAUUGCUAAACCUCACGCGAAAGACAAGCACGGACAUGUAGUUGGCCUGCCCGUUGUUUCCGUUAAGAUAGGAGAUCACUGUUACCAUGGUUUAUGUGAUAUGGGAGCUAGUGUUAGUGCAAUACCCCGUUCUCUAUAUGAUGAAAUCAAAGAUGAGAUUGCACCUGCUGAGUUAGAACCCAUUGAUGUCACUAUUACGCUAGCUAAUAGAGACACUAUCUGCCCCCUGGGAAUUGUGAGAGACGUAGAAGUCCUGUGUGGUAAUACGAAGUAUCCUACUGAUUUCCUCGUCCUUGGUACUGCACAAGAUAGCUUUUGUCCCAUCAUAUUUGGUAGACCCUUUCUCAAAACUGUCAAUGCUCACAUUGAUUGCAUUAAGCAGACUGUCACAGUAAGUUUCGAGGGUGUGUCUCAUGAAUUUAACUUCUCCAAGUUUGGAAGACAACCCCAUGAAAGAGAGUCGUCUGGUAAAGAUGAAAUCAUUGCUCUUGCCUCUAUUGCCGUACCUCCUACGGAUCCUUUAGAGCAAUAUCUGCUUGAGCAUGAAAAUUACAUGCAUAUGGAGGAGAGAGAUGAGAUAGAUAGAAUUGUCUUAGAACAACAUCCUAUUCUCAAGAAUAAUCUGUCUGUUGAACUGCUUGGGGAUCCUCCCCCACCAAAGGGUGAUCUUGUGUUCGAGCUUAAACAGAUGCCUGAUACUCUUAAGUAUGCCUAUCUUGGUGAGAAGGAGAUAUAUCCUGUCAUUAUUAGUGCUCUCCUCUCAGAGCGCGAAGAGAAGAAGUUACUAAAAACUCUGAGGAAGCACCACGCUACUAUUGGAUAUACUCUUGAUGAUCUUAAGGGUAUUAGUCCUACUCUAUGUCAGCACAAGAUUAAAACCGAUCCUGACUUUAAACAAGUUGCUGAUCAUCAAAGGAGAUUAAAUCCUAAGAUGAAAGAGGUCGUUAGAAAAGAAAUAUUAAAGCUUCUGGAAGCAGGAAUCAUUUAUCCUGUUGCUCAUAGUGAUUGGGUAAGUCUAGUACAUUGCGUACCUAAGAAGGGAAGUAUCACCGUCGUUCCUAAUGAUAAGGAUGAACUAAUCCCACAAAGGAUUAUUACCGGCUAUAGAAUGGUGAUAGACUUCCGGAAACUGAACAAGGCAACCAGGAAAGAUCAUUAUCCUUUGCCGUUCAUAGACCAAAUGCUAGAAAGGCUAUCAAAGCACACACACUUCUCCUUUCUAGACGGUUAUUCAGGUUUCUCGCAGAUACAUGUUGCACAAUCUGAUCAAGAGAAAACCACUUUCACCUGCCCUUUCGGUACCUUUGCCUAUUGACGUAUGCCUUUUGGCUUAUGUAAUGCACCUGCCACCUUCCAAAUAUGUAUGAUGGCUAUAUUCUCUGACUUUUGUGAAAAGAUUGUCGAGGUUUUCAUGGAUGACUUCUCCGUUUACGGGUCUUCCUUUGAUGAUUGCCUCAGCAACCUUGAUCGAGUCUUAUAGAGAUGCGAAGAAACCAACCUCGUCUUGAAUUGGGAGAAGUGCCACUUUAUGGUUAAUGAAGGUAUCGUCUUAGGACACAAAAUCUUUGAAAGAGGCACUGAAGUUGAUAAGGCUAAGGUUGAUGCAAUUGAGAAAAUGCCUUGCCCCACAGAUAUCAGAGGUAUACGAAGUUUCCUAGGUCAUGUUGGUUUCUAUAGAAGGUUCAUUAAAGACUUCUCUAAGAUUUCUAUGCCUCUUACCAACCUCUUGCAGAAGGAUGUUCCUUUUGUUUUUUAUGAGGAUUGUGAGGAAAUCUUUGAAAUACUUAAGAAGGCUUUUAUAACUGCACCUAUUGUUCAACCACCUGAUUGGAACUUACCUUUUGAAAUUAUGUGUGAUGCUAGUGAUUAUGUUGUUGGCGCUGUUCUAGGACAAAGAGUUGAUAAGAAGUUGAAUGUUAUUCACUAUGUUAGUAAAACUCUAGACAGUGCCCAAAGAAACUAUGCUACUACUGAAAAGGAAUUUUUAGCAGUCGUGUUUGCAUGUGAAAAGUUCAAAUCUUACAUUGUUGAUUCCAAGGUGACUAUUCACACUGAUCAUGCUGCUAUUAAGUACCUCAUGGAAAAGAAAGAUGCUAAACCUAGACUUAUCAGAUGGGUUCUCUUGGUACAAGAAUUUGAUUUGCAUGUUGUUGAUAGGAAGGGUGCUGAGAACCCCGUAGCAGAUAACUUGUCUAGGUUGGAGAAUGUUCUUGAUGACCCACAACCUAUUGAUGAUAGCUUUCCUGAUGAGCAAUUGAAUGUCAUCAAUGCUUCACGUAGUACACCGUGGUAUGCUAUUUAUGCAAAUUAUAUCGUUGCCAAAUAUAUACCACCUAGUGUCACAUACCAGCAAAAGAAGAAAUUCUUCUUUGAUUUGAGACAUUACUUUUGGGAUGAUCCUCACCUUUAUAAGGCAGGAGUAGAUGGUGUUAUUAGACGUUGUGUACCUGAACAUGAACAGGGACAGAUCCUACAGAAGUGUCACUCCGAGGCUUACGGAGGACACCAUGCGGGAGAUAGAACUGCACACAAGGUAUUGCAAUCAGGUUUCUAUUGGCCCACUCUCUUCAAGGAUGCCCGUAAGUUUGUCUUGUCUUGUGACGAAUUUCAAAGAAUAGGUAAUAUCAGUAAAUGUCAAGAAAUGCCUAUGAAUUAUUCACUUGUCAUUGAACCAUUUGAUGUUUGGGGCUUUGAUUAUAUGGGACCUUUUCCAAAAUCCAACGGGUAUACUCAUAUCCUAGUUGUUGUUGAUUAUGUUACUAAGUGGGUAGAAGCUAUCCCAACUAGUAGUGUUGAUCACAACACCUCUAUCAGGAUGCUUAAAGAAGUUAUUUUCCCUAGAUUUGGAGUCCCUACAUAUCUAAUGACUGAUGGUGGUUCACAUUUUAUUCAUGGUGCUUUCCGUAAAAUGCUUGCUAAGUAUGAUGUCAACCAUAGAGUUGCAUCUCCCUAUCAUCCCCAGUCGAGUGGUCAAGCAGAGCUAAGCAAUAGAGAGAUUAAACUAAUUCUGCAAAAGACUAUCAAUAGGUCUAGAAAGAAUUGGUCUAAGAAGCUUGAUGAUGCACUAUGGGCUUAUAGAACUGCUUAUAAGAAUCCCAUGGGCAUGUCUCCGUACAAAAUGGUUUACGGUAAAGCAUGUCAUUUACCUCUUGAGCUAGAGCAUAAGGCUUAUUGGGCAAUCAAAGAGCUCAACUUUGAUUUCAAACUUGUUGGUGAGAAGAGGUUAUUUGAUAUUAUCUCACUUGAUGAAUGGAGAGCUCAGGCAUAUGAAAAUGCCAAGUUGUUCAAAGAGAAAGUUAAGAGGUGGCAUGAUAAAAGGAUACAAAAACGUGAGUUCAAUGUAGGUGAUUAUGUCUUGCUAUGUAAUUCUCGUUUAAGAUUUUUUGCAGACAAGCUUCUCUCUAAAUGGGAAGGUCCUUACAUUGUUGAGGAAGUAUAUCGUUUCGGUGCCAUCAAGACCAACAACACGGAAGGUAAUUUUCUGAGAGUGGUAAAUGGGCAAAGAAUCAAGCAUUAUAUCUCAGGUACUCCCAUAAAUGUUGAAAGAAAUAUUAUCAAUAUCAUAACUCCGGAGGAGUACAUAAGGGAUAUUUAUCAGCCUAUUUUCAGACUCCGAAAACAAAGAGGUAUGUGAUUCGGUAAGUAAACCGACUCCAAAACUUUUCUAGUAGGAAUUUUUCUCAGUUUUGGAUUUUUUAGAAAAUUAGAAAUAUUUAAAGUAGUCCGGAAAGCGCACGAGGAGGCGACAAGCCUGCCAAGCGCGGGCCACCCCCUGGCCGCGCCUCGGGGGCUUGUGACCACCUCGUAUGCCUCCCGGACUCUGUUUUCUUGCGGAGUACUCCUUCUGGUCAGAAAAAAAAUCAUUAUAUAUUCUCCCGAAAGGUCUGACCCUCGUAUCACACAAUUUUCCUCUGUUUUCAUUUCGAGCUACUGUGCAGAGAGAUCUAGAUCGCCAUGGCAUCCCCAAAAGUUCCGAAGGACAAGUUCUUCGAGAAGGUCAUCAAUCCCUACCUCGCGGGAGUGCUGCAACACCCUCAAUCUAUCGAGAUGCGUGAGGGGGUGCUGCACAUCCGUGAUGUUGAGGGGCCCAAGAAGACCGGAAGCAUGGAGGCAAGGCUCGAAGUAAUGGAGCAGCAAGUCUUCAAGUGACAAGGGAUGGUGGAACGCGGACUCAACACCAAGCACAUGUUGAUCACGGAGUUCACCAACAAGCACAAGAUUGAUGCCAAUGACAUCGGGAAGCACCUCUCCUGGCUCUAUGACAGAAUUGAUCACCUCCAAGCCCAGAUCUAUGACCUGCAGAACCAAAACUGUGAGUAUGAGUAUAGAUUUAAAUCAAUACGAUUGGCUGCAGAUUUGAGGAUUCCGGAGACUCGAUCAUCUUUCCAUGAUGGAGCACCUAUGCCUUGGAAGACGGAGGAUCAAACCCAUGUUGCAAAAACUUCACCACCAUCACCUUCGAAGGAAGACAACUAAGCACGGGUAUGGGCAAUCCCCUUGGCUUGUGCCAAGGUUGGGGGAGUUGCCCCGAUAUCGUAUCACCAUCACAUCUUUUGCCUUUAUUUUUUCUUAGUUUGAUCCUUUUUGGUUUUAUCUUUCUCUAGUAGAAUAAAGUUCUUAGUGUUUUAGGCUUGAGUUUUGAUUUGUGUCACCCCCGAUGUAUUCGAGCUUGUGAGUCAUAUAAUAAAGAGUGUUUUAGUUAAGGGCCUUGCCUCAUGCCAUGGUCUGAAAGAAAAGAAUGAUGAAAGAACAAAAGCAUGAAAGAUCAUGUAAUGAUCUUAUGGGAAGUGAUGGCUUCACAUAUAAAAAGAAUGUUGAUUUAAACUUGUUGUGGGUGGACAAACAUAGACCUUGGUCAUUGUUGCAAUUAAUAGGAAGUAAUAAGGAAAGAAAGGUUCACAUAUAAAUAUAUCAUCUUUGACACCAUCUAUGAUUGUGAACACUCAUUAAACUAUUGCAUGCUUAGAAGUAGAUGUUGGACAAGGAAGACAACAUAAUGAAUUAUGUUUGCUUGGUUCCGAACAAUGUUAUAUGACUAGAGAUCCCUUAGCAUGUGACGCUUGCUUCCACCUCAUAUCAGCCAAAACUUCCGCACUAAGUAGAGAUACUACUUGUGCAUCCUUAAACCUUCAACCCAGUUUUGCCAUGAGAGUCCACCAUACCUACCUAUGGAUUGAAGAAGAUCCCUCAAGUAAGUUGUCAUCGGUGCAAGCAAUAAGAAUUGCUCCCUAAAUAUGUAUGAUCUAUNNNNNNNNNNNNNNNNNNNNNNNNNNNNNNNNNNNNNNNNNNNNNNNNNNNNNNNNNNNNNNNNNNNNNNNNNNNNNNNNNNNNNNNNNNNNNNNNNNNNNNNNNNNNNNNNNNNNNNNNNNNNNNNNNNNNNNNNUAUGUAUGAUCUAUUACUGUGUGGAAAAUAAGCUUUGUACGAACUUGUGAUGAGGAAGACAGAAAAGCGACAAACUGCAUAAUAAAGUUCUUUAUCACUGGAGGCAAUAUAAAGUGACGUUACUUCACACUAAGGGGUCACACAUCCAAACCCCAAAAGCGUAUGACAACCUCUGCUUCCCUCUGCGAAGGGCCUAUCUUGUACCUUUACCUUUUGCCUUUAAAAGUGUCAUGGUGAUCAACACCAAUUCCUUAUUACGCCUUUAUCUUGGCUAACAUCAUAUGCUAGGGAAAGAUCUAUAUUCAUAUGUCAUCUUGGAAGUAAGUAUUCAUGAAUUAUUAUUGUUGACAUCACCCUUGAGGUAGAUAGUUGGGAGGCGAAACUAUAAGCCCCUAUCUUUCUCUGUGUCCAACUGAAACUUUGAUCUCAUGAGUACCGCGUGAGUUUUAGAAAUUGUAGAAGAGGAAAGGAUGAUUGAGUAUGUGGAUUUGCUUUACAAGCUCUUAUUUGACUCUUUCCGAUGUUAUGAUAAAUUGCAAUUGCUUCAAUGACUAAAGGCUAUUGGUUGUUAAUUCUCAAUAAGGUUCUUGAUUCAUACUUUACUUUGUAAAGGAAUUGUCACUUUAGCAUAAGAGAUUAUAUGAUGAUAUUGCUGUUCUGAUUAUGAUCAUGAUGCCUGCAUGUCCGUAUUUUGUUUUGUCGACACCUCUCUCUCUAAACAUGUGGGCAUAUUUAUUGAUCUCGACUUCCGCUUGAGGACAAGCGAGGUCUAAGCUUGGGGGAGUUGAUACGUCCAAUUUGCAUCAUCCUUUUAUGUUGAUAUUUAUCGCUUUAUGGGCUGUCAUUACACUUCACGGUACAAUACUUAUGCCUUUUCUCUCUUAUUUUACAAGGUUUAUAUGAAGAGGGAGAAUGCUGGCAGCUGGAAUUCUGGCCUGAAAAAGGAGCAAGUUUGAGAUACCUAUUAUGCGCAACUCCAAAAGCCGUGAAAAUCAACGAGGAAUUAUUUUGGAAUUUAUAAAAAAUACUGGGCAGAAGAAGUACCACAGGGGAGCCACCAGGAGGCCACAAGCCUGCUAGGUGCAGCCUACCCCCUGGCUGCGCCUAGGGGGCUUAUGGGCUCCCUAUUGGACGUUUGGCUCCCCUCUUUUGCUAUAAGGAGGGUUUCAUUCCAGAAAAAAAUCAGGAGGAGGCUUUCAGGAGGAAUCGCCGCCGCCACGAGGUGGAACUUGAGCAGAACCAAUCUAGAGCUCCCGCAGGGCCGUCCUACCGGGGAAACUUCCCUCCCAGAGGGGGAAAUCGUCGCCAUCGUCAUCACCGACACUCCUCUCAUCGGAGGGGACGCAUCACCAUCAACAUAUUCAUCAGCACCAUCUCAUCUCCAAACCCUAGUUCAUCUCUUGUAACCAAUCUUCGUAUCGCGACUCCGAUUGGUACUUGUAAGGUUGCUAGUAGUGUUAAUUACUCUUUGCAGUCGAUGCUAGUUGGAUUACUCGGUGGAAGAUUAUAUGUUCAGAUCCUUGAUGCUAUUCAAUACCUCUCUAGUCAUGAACAUAAUUAUGCUUUGUGAGUAGUUACUUUUGUUCCUAAGGACAUGGGAUAAGUCUUGCUAUAAGUAGUCAUGUGAAUUUGGUAUUCGUUCGAUAUUUUGAUGCGUUGUAUGUUGUUUUUUCCUCUAGUGGUGUUAUGUGAAUGUCGACUACAUAACACUUCACCAUUAUUUGGGCCUAGAGGAAGGCAUUGUGAAGUAGUAAGUAGAUGAUGGGUUGCUAGAGUGACAGAAGCUUAAACCCUAGUUUAUGUGUUGCUUCGUAAGGGGCUGAUUUGGAUCCACUAGUUUAAUGAUAUGGUUAGACUUUGUCUUAAUUCUUCUUUCGUAGUUGCGGAUGCUUGCGAGAGGGGUUAAUCAUAAGUGGNNNNNNNNNNNNNNNNNNNNNNNNNNNNNNNNNNNNNNNNNNNNNNNNNNNNNNNNNNNNNNNNNNNNNNNNNNNNNNNNNNNNNNNNNNNNNNNNNNNNAAUCAUAAGUGGGAUGUUUGUCCAAGUAAGGGCAGCACCCAAGCACCGGUCCACCCACAUAUCAAACUAUCAAAGUAGCGAACGCGAAUCUUAUGAACAUGAUGAAAACUAGCUUGACAGAAAUUCCCAUGUGUCCUCGGGAGCGCUUUACCUCCUAUAAGAGUUCGUCCAGGCUUGUCCCUUGCUACAAAAGGGAUUAGGCCACUUUGCUGCACCGUUGUUACUAUUGUUACUUGCUAUGAAUCAUCUUAUCACAACUAUCUGUUACCGAUAAUUUCAGUGCUUGUAGAGAAUACCUUGCUGAAAACCACUUGUCAGAUCCUUCUGCUCCUCGUUGGGUUCGACACUCUUACUUAUCGAAAGGACUAUGAUAGAUCCCCUACACUUGUGGGUCAUCAUUCACCAAGUCCACAACAACAAAUGCAAGAAAUUGUACGUCAAACUCAACAACAAAGUUUUUAGCAUGCAAUACAACAAAAGUGUAUCAUACGAACGUAACUAACACAGAAAUAAAAUUAAGCACGGUGUCGCUUAUGUCAUGCCCACUACUCUUCCAUGAGAUUUUUCUUAAGACCAUUGCGUGUGUCAGAAUCACAAAUGUCAUGGUACACGUGAAGAAAGUAUUGGAUUCAAUCUUGCCUCCUACUUGGCCGCAGCCGUAGUCCAAUGAGGUCAUGCGAGGUGUAACCCAAAUUUUAUCCAUGCUCGGUCUCAAUGACCGUACUAUGCACGAUCUCGUAGAUUGUGAUGUUGUAUCAAAUGAUGUCUUGAUCCAAAAACCUAGCCGGUCCUCGCACAAUAGCAAAUUGGGAUUGCAAAAUCUCAAAAACCCUCUCCAUAUAUUCCGCAACACUUGCUUGAGCAUUAUCUCUACUAUUAAAGGGGGAUAUGCCGUCGUGAUGGUUCAACCAUCGUCCUCUCCUCCAGCGCACAAAAAUAGUAAUCUCGCACGCACUACAGAAUCAGAAAAAACAACACACCCUCCCACCCCUCAUCGGAAAAACUAAUGAAAAACGCGUGCGCACACACACACACGUCGCGGGCCCCAUCUCUCCUCAACCCCUCGCUCUCGAUCUCGUAUCUCUCGGAGAAAAUUCAUCAUCGGUUGUGCUCGCCAUCUAGCUCAUGCACUGCAUCGUGAAUUAUUGCAAGUGCCAUAUGGAUCCCGUCGAGAGAGAUAGCAGAAAGAGAGUGAGUGAGUGAGGGAGGGAGGGAGAGGGAGUGGAGGGGGAGAGAGGGAGAGGGAGGGGAGGGAGAGAGAGAGGGGGAGAGAGCGAGAGAGGGAGAGAGGGAGAGAGAGAGAGAGAGAGGAGCGCAGCGGCGGUCCUGGCCUUAGCGCCACAAAGGAAGAGCGGUGGUGGGACGACACUGUUGUUGCUCGGACAAGGGGGCUCCUCACGUAGAGGCUGACACGAAUCAAAGGAGAUGGCGGUGCAAAUCCUAUCUUCCUGUCUGUGUUUCCCUCUACAAGGCCUCUUUGGAGUUAGUACACUUCCCAUCCACCUCUUCUUCCCAUAUACCAAGGCAUGUGCCUGUGCCAUUGACCCUCAUCGGUGGAGGUGCGCGAGGAGUCCGUCCACGAGCAGCACGUGGACGUCUCGUCCAUGUCACUGAUCAACACCGACCUCGAGACGAAAGAUCCAUUUUGUUGCAGAGGCCUUCUAUUACUGGUCCACAGAGCCGACUUCUUCCUCUAUGGUUGGAUCGAGACCGCAACUACUCAUUAAGCCUCUUAUAUCUCUCUUAAAUUUUCUAGGGUUCUUGGUGUGGAUUUGAAUAGAGAGCUCAAGCUUGAUCUUGAUAUCUUGGUUAUGUCUUGUACUAUUUUUGUCGAUACAAAUUCUUACUGCAAAGUUUUCUUAGACGGGAAGUAAGUUAUUUUUUCGAAAAGGCUUUGUGGUUCUUUAUUAAUGGCGUUCAUCUACUACAAUAUGUGAUACACAUUCUUGAGGUAUAUGUGAUGACCCACAAGUAUAGGGGAUCAAUAGUAGUCCUUUCGAUAAGUAAGAGUGUCGAACCCAACGAGGAGCAGAAGGCUCUGAUAAACGGAUUUUAGCAAGGUAAUAACUACAAGCACUGAAAGUAGCGGUAACAAGUGAUUGUGUAGCGAGGUGAAACAUAGCAAGCAAAGAGUAACAAGUAACAAGUAGUAGCAAUGGUGCAGCAAGUGGCCCAAUCCCUUUUGUAGCAAGGGACAAGCCUGAACAAAGUCCUAUAGGAGGAAAAACGCUCCCGAGGACACACGGGAAUUUUUGUCAUGCUAGUUUCANNNNNNNNNNNNNNNNNNNNNNNNNNNNNNNNNNNNNNNNNNNNNNNNNNNNNNNNNNNNNNNNNNNNNNNNNNNNNNNNNNNNNNNNNNNNNNNNNNNNGGGAGUUGAUACGUCCAUUUUGCAUCAUGAUUUCAUGUUGAUAUUUAUUGCUUUUUGGGCUGUUAUAUUACUUGUGGUACCAUAUUUAUGCUUUUUCUCUCUUAUUUUGCAAGGAUUAUUUGAAGAUGGAGAAUUCAGGCAGCUGGAAUUCUCGACUAGAAAAGGAGCAAAUCCUAGUCCACUAUUCUGCACAUCUCCAAAUUCCCUGAAAAUUUACGUGGAUUUUUUCUGGAAUAUAUUAAAAAUAUUGGGCGAAAGAACUACCGAAGGGGGGCCACCAGGGCCCCACAAGCCCCCACUCCGCCAGCACCCCCCUGGUGGCGGUGGGCAAGCUUGUGGGCUGCCUGAAGGCCCACUAGCGCCCCUCUUUUGCUAUAUGAAGCGUCCUGGUCUGGAAAAAAAAUCAAUAGGGAGCUUUUUCGUGGUUUCGCCGCCGCCACGGGCGGAACUUGAGCAGAUCCAAUCUAGAGCUCCGGCAGGACGAUCCUACCGGAGAAACUUCCCUCUCGGAGGGGGGAAUCGUCGCCAUCGUCAUCACCAACACUCCUCUCGUCGGAGGGGAGGCAUCUUCAUCAACAUCUUCAUCAGCACCAUCUCCUCUCCAAUCCCUAGUUCAUCUCUUGUAACCAAUCUUCGUCUCGCAACUCCGAUUGGUACUUGUAAGGUUGCUAGUAGUGUUGAUUACUCUUUGUAGUUGAUGCUAGUUGGAUUACUUGGUGGAAGAGUUUAUGUUCAGAUCCUUGAUGCUAUUCAUUACACCUCUGAUCAUGAUUAUGAUUAUGUUUUGUGAGUAGUUACUUUUGUUCCUGAGGACAUGGGAUAAGUCAUGUUAAUAAUAGUCAUGUGAAUUUGAUAUUCGUUUCGUAUUUUGAUAUGUUGUAUGUUGUCUUUUCCUCUAGUGGUGUUAUGUGAACGUCCACUACAUAACACUUCACCAUAUUUGGGCCUAGAGGAAGGCAUUGGGAAGUAGUAAGUAGAUGAUGGGUUGCUGGAGUGACAGAAGCUUAAACCCCAGUCUAUGUGUUGCUUCGUGAGGGGCUGAUUUGGAUCCACUAGUUUAAUGAUAUGGUUAGACUUUGUCUUAAUUCUUCUUUUGUAGUUGUGGAUGCUUGCGAGAGAGGUUAAUCAUAAGUGGGAUGAUUGUCCAAGUAAGGGCAGUACCCAAGCGCCGGUCCACCCACAUAUCAAACUAUCAAAGUAACGAACGCGAAUCAUAUGAACAUGAUGAAACUAGCAUGACAAAAAUUCCCGUGUGUCCUCGGGAGCGUUUUUCCUCCUAUAGGACUUUGUUCAGGCUUGUCCCUUGCUACAAAAGGGAUUGGGCCACUUGCUGCACCAUUGCUACUACUUGUUACUUGUUACUCUUUGCUUGCUAUGUUUCACCUCGCUACACAAUCACUUGUUACCGCUACUUUCAGUGCUUGUAGUUAUUACCUUGCUAAAAUCCGUUUAUCAGAGCCUUCUGCUCCUCGUUGGGUUCGACACUCUUACUUAUCGAAAGGACUACUAUUGAUCCCCUAUACUUGUGGGUCAUCACAUAUACCUCAAGAAUGUGUAUCACAUAUUGUAGUAGAUGAACGCCAUUAAUAAAGAACCACAAAGCCUUUUCGAAAAAAUAACUUACUUCCCGUCUAAGAAAACUUUGCAGUAAGAAUUUGUAUCGACAAAAAUAGUACAAGACAUAACCAAGAUAUCAAGAUCAAGCUUGAGCUCUCUAUUCAAAUCCACACCAAGAACCCUAGAAAAUUUAAGAGAGAUAUAAGAGGCUUAAUGAGUAGUUGCGGUCUCGAUCCAACCAUAGAGGAAGAAGUCGGCUCUGUGGACCAGUAAUAGAAGGCCUCUGCAACAAAAUGGAUCUUUCGUCUCGAGGUCGGUGUUGAUCAGUGACAUGGACGAGACGUCCACGUGCUGCUCGUGGACGGACUCCUCGCGCACCUCCACCGAUGAGGGUCAAUGGCACAGGCACAUGCCUUGGUAUAUGGGAAGAAGAGGUGGAUGGGAAGUGUACUAACUCCAAAGAGGCCUUGUAGAGGGAAACACAGACAGGAAGAUAGGAUUUGCACCGCCAUCUCCUUUGAUUCGUGUCAGCCUCUACGUGAGGAGCCCCCUUGUCCGAGCAACAACAGUGUCGUCCCACCACCGCUCUUCCUUUGUGGCGCUAAGGCCAGGACCGCCGCUGCGCUCCUCUCUCUCUCUCUCUCUCCCUCUCUCCCUCUCUCGCUCUCUCCCCCUCUCUCUCUCCCUCCCCUCCCUCUCCCUCUCUCCCCCUCCACUCCCUCUCCCUCCCUCCCUCACUCACUCACUCUCUUUCUGCUAUCUCUCUCGACGGGAUCCAUAUGGCACUUGCAAUAAUUCACGAUGCAGUGCAUGAGCUAGAUGGCGAGCACAACCGAUGAUGAAUUUUCUCCGAGAGAUACGAGAUCGAGAGCGAGGGGUUGAGGAGAGAUGGGGCCCGCGACGUGUGUGUGUGUGCGCACGCGUUUUUCAUUAGUUUUUCCGAUGAGGGGUGGGAGGGUGUGUUGUUUUUUCUGAUUCUGUAGUGCGUGCGAGAUUACUAUUUUUGUGCGCUGGAGGAGAGGACGAUGGUUGAACCAUCACGACGGCAUAUCCCCCUUUAAUAGUAGAGAUAAUGCUCAAGCAAGUGUUGCGGAAUAUAUGGAGAGGGUUUUUGAGAUUUUGCAAUCCCAAUUUGCUAUUGUGCGAGGACCGGCUAGGUUUUUGGAUCAAGACAUCAUUUGAUACAACAUCACAAUCUACGAGAUCGUGCAUAGUACGGUCAUUGAGACCGAGCAUGGAUAAAAUUUGGGUUACACCUCGCAUGACCUCAUUGGACUACGGCUGCGGCCAAGUAGGAGGCAAGAUUGAAUCCAAUACUUUCUUCACGUGUACCAUGACAUUUGUGAUUCUGACACACGCAAUGGUCUUAAGAAAAAUCUCAUGGAAGAGUAGUGGGCAUGACAUAAGCGACACCGUGCUUAAUUUUAUUUCUGUGUUAGUUACGUUCGUAUGAUACACUUUUGUUGUAUUGCAUGCUAAAAACUUUGUUGUUGAGUUUGACGUACAAUUUCUUGCAUUUGUUGUUGUGGACUUGGUGAAUGAUGACCCACAAGUGUAGGGGAUCUAUCAUAGUCCUUUCGAUAAGUAAGAGUGUCGAACCCAACGAGGAGCAGAAGGAUCUGACAAGUGGUUUUCAGCAAGGUAUUCUCUACAAGCACUGAAAUUAUCGGUAACAGAUAGUUGUGAUAAGAUGAUUCAUAGCAAGUAACAAUAGUAACAACGGUGCAGCAAAGUGGCCUAAUCCCUUUUGUAGCAAGGGACAAGCCUGGACGAACUCUUAUAGGAGGUAAAGCGCUCCCGAGGACACAUGGGAAUUUCUGUCAAGCUAGUUUUCAUCAUGUUCAUAAGAUUCGCGUUCGCUACUUUGAUAGUUUGAUAUGUGGGUGGACCGGUGCUUGGGUGCUGCCCUUACUUGGACAAACAUCCCACUUAUGAUUAACCCCUCUCGCAAGCAUCCGCAACUACGAAAGAAGAAUUAAGACAAAGUCUAACCAUAUCAUUAAACUAGUGGAUCCAAAUCAGCCCCUUACGAAGCAACACAUAAACUAGGGUUUAAGCUUCUGUCACUCUAGCAACCCAUCAUCUACUUACUACUUCACAAUGCCUUCCUCUAGGCCCAAAUAAUGGUGAAGUGUUAUGUAGUCGACAUUCACAUAACACCACUAGAGGAAAAAACAACAUACAACGCAUCAAAAUAUCGAACGAAUACCAAAUUCACAUGACUACUUAUAGCAAGACUUAUCCCAUGUCCUUAGGAACAAAAGUAACUACUCACAAAGCAUAAUUAUGUUCAUGACUAGAGAGGUAUUGAAUAGCAUCAAGGAUCUGAACAUAUAAUCUUCCACCGAGUAAUCCAACUAGCAUCGACUGCAAAGAGUAAUUAACACUACUAGCAACCUUACAAGUACCAAUCGGAGUCGCGAUACGAAGAUUGGUUACAAGAGAUGAACUAGGGUUUGGAGAUGAGAUGGUGCUGAUGAAUAUGUUGAUGGUGAUGCGUCCCCUCCGAUGAGAGGAGUGUCGGUGAUGACGAUGGCGACGAUUUCCCCCUCUGGGAGGGAAGUUUCCCCGGUAGGACGGCCCUGCGGGAGCUCUAGAUUGGUUCUGCUCAAGUUCCACCUCGUGGCGGCGGCGAUUCCUCCUGAAAGCCUCCUCCUGAUUUUUUUCUGGAAUGAAACCCUCCUUAUAGCAAAAGAGGGGAGCCAAACGUCCAAUAGGGAGCCCAUAAGCCCCCUAGGCGCAGCCAGGGGGUAGGCUGCACCUAGCAGGCUUGUGGCCUCCUGGUGGCUCCCCUGUGGUACUUCUUCUGCCCAGUAUUUUUUAUAAAUUCCAAAAUAAUUCCUCGUUGAUUUUCACGGCUUUUGGAGUUGCGCAUAAUAGGUAUCUCAAACUUGCUCCUUUUUCAGGCCAGAAUUCCAGCUGCCAGCAUUCUCCCUCUUCAUAUAAACCUUGUAAAAUAAGAGAGAAAAGGCAUAAGUAUUGUACCGUGAAGUGUAAUGACAGCCCAUAAAGCGAUAAAUAUCAACAUAAAAGGAUGAUGCAAAUUGGACGUAUCAACUCCCCCAAGCUUAGACCUCGCUUGUCCUCAAGCGGAAGUCGAGAUCAAUAAAUAUGCCCACAUGUUUAGAGAGAGAGGUGUCGACAAAACAAAAUACGGACAUGCAGGCAUCAUGAUCAUAAUCAGAACAGCAAUAUCAUCAUAUAAUCUCUUAUGCUAAAGUGACAAUUCCUUUACAAAGUAAAGUAUGAAUCAAGAACCUUAUUGAGAAUUAACAACCAAUAGCCUUUAGUCAUUGAAGCAAUUGCAAUUUAUCAUAACAUCGGAAAGAGUCAAAUAAGAGCUUGUAAAGCAAAUCCACAUACUCAAUCAUCCUUUCCUCUUCUACAAUUUCUAAAACUCACGCGGUACUCAUGAGAUCAAAGUUUCAGUUGGACACAGAGAAAGAUAGGGGCUUAUAGUUUCGCCUCCCAACUAUCUACCUCAAGGGUGAUGUCAACAAUAAUAAUUCAUGAAUACUUACUUCCAAGAUGACAUAUGAAUAUAGAUCUUUCCCUAGCAUAUGAUGUUAGCCAAGAUAAAGGCGUAAUAAGGAAUUGGUGUUGAUCACCAUGACACUUUUAAAGGCAAAAGGUAAAGGUACAAGAUAGGCCCUUCGCAGAGGGAAGCAGAGGUUGUCAUACGCUUUUGGGGUUUGGAUGUGUGACCCCUUAGUGUGAAGUAACGUCACUUUAUAUUGCCUCCAGUGAUAAAGAACUUUAUUAUGCAGUUUGUCGCUUUUCUGUCUUCCUCAUCACAAGUUCGUACAAAGCUUAUUUUCCACACAGUAAUAGAUCAUACAUAUUUAGGGAGCAAUUCUUAUUGCUUGCACCGAUGACAACUUACUUGAGGGAUCUUCUUCAAUCCAUAGGUAGGUAUGGUGGACUCUCAUGGCAAAACUGGGUUGAAGGUUUAAGGAUGCACAAGUAGUAUCUCUACUUAGUGCGGAAGUUUUGGCUGAUAUGAGGUGGAAGCAAGCGUCACAUGCUAAGGGAUCUCUAGUCAUAUAACAUUGUUCGGAACCAAGCAAACAUAAUUCAUUAUGUUGUCUUCCUUGUCCAACAUCUACUUCUAAGCAUGCAAUAGUUUAAUGAGUGUUCACAAUCAUAGAUGGUGUCAAAGAUGAUAUAUUUAUAUGUGAACCUUUCUUUCCUUAUUACUUCCUAUUAAUUGCAACAAUGACCAAGGUCUAUGUUUGUCCACCCACAACAAGUUUAAAUCAACAUUCUUUUUAUAUGUGAAGCCAUCACUUCCCAUAAGAUCAUUACAUGAUCUUUCAUGCUUUUGUUCUUUCAUCAUUCUUUUCUUUCAGACCAUGGCAUGAGGCAAGGCCCUUAACUAAAACACUCUUUAUUAUAUGACUCACAAGCUCGAAUACAUCGGGGGUGACACAAAUCAAAACUCAAGCCUAAAACACUAAGAACUUUAUUCUACUAGAGAAAGAUAAAACCAAAAAGGAUCAAACUAAGAAAAAAUAAAGGCAAAAGAUGUGAUGGUGAUACGAUAUCGGGGCAACUCCCCCAACCUUGGCACAAGCCAAGGGGAUUGCCCAUACCCGUGCUUAGUUGUCUUCCUUCGAAGGUGAUGGUGGUGAAGUUUUUGCAACAUGGGUUUGAUCCUCCGUCUUCCAAGGCAUAGGUGCUCCAUCAUGGAAAGAUGAUCGAGUCUCCGGAAUCCUCAAAUCUGCAGCCAAUCGUAUUGAUUUAAAUCUAUACUCAUACUCACAGUUUUGGUUCUGCAGGUCAUAGAUCUGGGCUUGGAGGUGAUCAAUUCUGUCAUAGAGCCAGGAGAGGUGCUUCCCGAUGUCAUUGGCAUCAAUCUUGUGCUUGUUGGUGAACUCCGUGAUCAACAUGUGCUUGGUGUUGAGUCCGCGUUCCACCAUCCCUUGUCACUUGAAGACUUGCUGCUCCAUUACUUCGAGCCUUGCCUCCAUGCUUCCGGUCUUCUUGGGCCCCUCAACAUCACGGAUGUGCAGCACCCCCUCACGCAUCUCGAUAGAUUGAGGGUGUUGCAGCACUCCCGCGAGGUAGGGAUUGAUGACCUUCUCGAAGAACUUGUCCUUCGGAACUUUUGGGGAUGCCAUGGCGAUCUAGAUCUCUCUGCACAGUAGCUCGAAAUGAAAACAGAGGAAAAUUGUGUGAUACGAGGGUCAGACCUUUCGGGAGAAUAUAUAAUGAUUUUUUUUCUGACCAGAAGGAGUACUCCGCAAGAAAACAGAGUCCGGGAGGCAUACGAGGUGGUCACAAGCCCCCGAGGCGCGGCCAGGGGGUGGCCCGCGCUUGGCAGGCUUGUCGCCUCCUCGUGCGCUUUCCGGACUACUUUAAAUAUUUCUAAUUUUCUAAAAAAUCCAAAACUGAGAAAAAUUCCUACUAGAAAAGUUUUGGAGUCGGUUUACUUACCGAAUCACAUACCUCUUUGUUUUCGGAGUCUGAAAAUAGGCUGAUAAAUAUCCCUUAUGUACUCCUCCGGAGUUAUGAUAUUGAUAAUAUUUCUUUCAACAUUUAUGGGAGUACCUGAGAUAUAAUGCUUGAUUCUUUGCCCAUUUACCACUCUCAGAAAAUUACCUUCCGUGUUGUUGGUCUUGAUGGCACCGAAACGAUAUACUUCCUCAACAAUGUAAGGACCUUCCCAUUUAGAGAGAAGCUUGUCUGCAAAAAAUCUUAAACGAGAAUUACAUAGCAAGACAUAAUCACCUACAUUGAACUCACGUUUUUGUAUCCUUUUAUCAUGCCACCUCUUAACUUUCUCUUUGAACAACUUGGCAUUUUCAUAUGCCUGAGCUCUCCAUUCAUCAAGUGAGAUAAUAUCAAAUAACCUCUUCUCACCAACAAGUUUGAAAUCAAAGUUGAGCUCUUUGAUUGCCCAAUAAGCCUUAUGCUCUAGCUCAAGAGGUAAAUGACAUGCUUUACCGUAAACCAUUUUGUACGGAGACAUGCCCAUGGGAUUCUUAUAAGCAGUUCUAUAAGCCCAUAGUGCAUCAUCAAGCUUCUUAGACCAAUUCUUUCUAGACCUAUUGAUAGUCUUUUGCAGAAUUAGUUUAAUCUCUCUAUUGCUUAGCUCUGCUUGACCACUCGACUGGGGAUGAUAGGGAGAUGCAACUCUAUGGUUGACAUCAUACUUAGCAAGCAUUUUACGGAAAGCACCAUGAAUAAAAUGUGAACCACCAUCAGUCAUUAGAUAUGUAGGGACUCCAAAUCUAGGGAAAAUAACUUCUUUAAGCAUCCUGAUAGAGGUGUUGUGAUCAACACUACUAGUUGGGAUAGCUUCUACCCACUUAGUAACAUAAUCAACAACAACUAGGAUAUGAGUAUACCCGUUGGAUUUUGGAAAAGGUCCCAUAUAAUCAAAGCCCCAAACAUCAAAUGGUUCAAUGACAAGUGAAUAAUUCAUAGGCAUUUCUUGACAUUUACUGAUAUUACCUAUUCUUUGAAAUUCGUCACAAGACAAGACAAACUUACGGGCAUCCUUGAAGAGAGUGGGCCAAUAGAAACCUGAUUGCAAUACCUUGUGUGCAGUUCUAUCUCCCGCAUGGUGUCCUCCGUAAGCCUCGGAGUGACACUUCUGUAGGAUCUGUCCCUGUUCAUGUUCAGGUACACAACGUCUAAUAACACCAUCUACUCCUGCCUUAUAAAGGUGAGGAUCAUCCCAAAAGUAAUGUCUCAAAUCAAAGAAGAAUUUCUUCUUUUGCUGGUAUGUGACACUAGGUGGUAUAUAUUUGGCAACGAUAUAAUUUGCAUAAAUAGCAUACCACGGUGUACUACGUGAAGCAUUGAUGACAUUCAAUUGCUCAUCAGGAAAGCUAUCAUCAAUAGGUUGUGGGUCAUCAAGAACAUUCUCCAACCUAGACAAGUUAUCUGCUACGGGGUUCUCAGCACCCUUCCUAUCAACAACAUGCAAAUCAAAUUCUUGUACCAAGAGAACCCAUCUGAUAAGUCUAGGUUUAGCAUCUUUCUUUUCCAUGAGGUACUUAAUAGCAGCAUGAUCAGUGUGAAUAGUCACCUUGGAAUCAACAAUGUAAGAUUUGAACUUUUCACAUGCAAACACGACUGCUAAAAAUUCCUUUUCAGUAGUAGCAUAGUUUCUUUGGGCACUGUCUAGAGUUUUACUAACAUAGUGAAUAACAUUCAACUUCUUAUCAACUCUUUGUCCUAGAACAGCGCCAACAACAUAAUCACUAGCAUCACACAUAAUUUCAAAAGGUAAGUUCCAAUCAGGUGGUUGAACAAUAGGUGCAAUUAUCAAGGCCUUUUUAAGUAUUUCAAAGGCUUCCUCACAAUCAUCGUCAAAACAAAAGGAAUAUCCUUUUGCAAGAGAUUAGUAAGAGGCCUAUAAAUAUUAGAAAAGUCCUUAAUGAACCUUCUAUAGAAACUAGCAUGACCAAGGAAACUUCUUAUACCUUUGAUAUCUGUAGGGCAUGGCAUUUUCUCGAUCGCAUCAACUUUAGCCUUAUCGACUUCAAUACCUCUCUCAAAAUUUUUAUGUCCUAAGACGAUGCCUUCAUUAACCAUAAAGUGGCACUUCUCCCAAUUCAAGACAAGACUGGUAUCUUUACAUCUCUGCAAAACUCGAUCAAGGUUGCUGAGGCAAUCAUCAAAAGAAGACCCGUAAACGGAGAAGUCAUCCAUGAAAAUCUCAACAGUCUUUUCACAAAAGUCAGAGAAUAUAGCCAUCAUACAUCUUUGAAAGGUAGCAGGUGCAUUACAUAAGCCAAAAGGCAUACGUCUGUAAGCAAAGGUACCGAAAGGGCAGGUGAAAGUGGUUUUCUCCUGAUCAGAUUGUGCAACAGGUAUUUGGGAGAAACCAGAAUAACCAUCUACAAAGUAGAAGUGUGUGUUUAGACAAUAUUUCUAGCAUUUGGUCAAUAAAAGGCAAAGGGUAAUGAUCUUUCCUAGUGGCCUUAUUCAAUUUCCUAAAAUUAAUCACCAUCCUAUAGCCAGUAAUAAUCCUCUGUGGGAUCAAUUCAUCCUUAUCAUUAGGGACAACGGUAAUACCUCCCUUCUUAGGGACGCAACGCACCGGACUUACCCAAUCAUUAUGAGCAACCACAGGAGCUUUAGUAUUUCUUUUCUUACUACCUCUUUCAUCUUAGGAUUUAAUCUCUGUUGAUGAUCGGCAACUGGUUUGGAACCAGGAUCGGUUUUAAUUUUGUGCUGGCAUAGAGUGGGACUAAUGCCCUUAAGAUCGUCAAGAGUAUAUCCAAUAGGAGCACGGUGCUUCCUUGGAGUUUUUAACAACUUGUUUUCUUCAUGCUCUGAAAAUGUAGCACUAAUUAUAACAGGAUAUAUCUCUUUUUCAUCAAGAUAAGCAUACUUAAGAGUAUCAGGUAACUGCUUAAGUUCAAACACAGGAUCACCCUUUGGUGGGGGUGGAUCUCCAAGCAGUUCAACAGGCAAAUUGUUCUUAAGGAUAGGAUGUUGUUCAAAGAUAACUCUAUCUAUCUCAUUCCUUUCAUCCAUAUGCAUAUCAUUUUCAUGCUCAAGCAAGUAUUGCUCUAAAGGAUCUGUAGGAGGCACAUCAAUAGAAGCUAGAGCAAUAAUUUCAUCCUUACUAGACAACUCUUUUUCAUGAGGUUGUCUACCAAACUUGGAGAAAUUGAACUCAUGUGACACACCUUCAAAGCCAACAGUAACAAUUUGCUUCUCACAGUCAAUAUGAGCAUUGACAGUAUUGAGAAAAGGUCUGUCAAAUAUGAUGGGACAAAGCUAUCUUGUGUGGUAGCAAGAACGAGAAAAUCAGCAGGAUACUUAGUUUUACCACACAAAACUUCAACAUCUAUAACAAUUCCCAAAGGGCAGAUAGUAUCUCUAUUGGCAAGCUGAAUAGUGACAUCAAUAGGUUCCAUCUCGACAGGUGCAAUCUCGUCCUUGAUUUCAUCAUAUAAAGAUUGAGGUAUUUCACUAACACUAGCACCCACGUCACAUAAACCAUGAUAACCAUGAUCUCCUAUCUUAACAGAAACAACAGGCGUGCCAACAACAGGCCUAUGUUUGUCUCUAGCAUGAGGUUUAGCAUUUCUAGCAGCAUCUUCGCAGAAGUGAAUAUCAUGGCCCUCAACAUUGUCGGACACGAGAUCUUUGAUAAUAGCAAUGCUAGGUUCAACUCUAAUUUUCUCAGGAAGUGUAGGUGUUCUAAUGUAGCCCCUAUGUAUCACAGUUGAAACUUUAGAAUGAUCCUUUAUCCUAAUAGGGAAAGGUGGUUUCUCAAUGUAAGCACUGGGAACAAUAGGAUCAUUAUAAGCAAUGACUUUCUCUUCAACUGGAUCGGGUUUAACUACAUUGACUUCUAAGGGAGGAUGAUAUUUAAACCACUUCUCUUUAGGGAGAUCAAUAUGAGCAGCAAAUGAUUCACACAAUGAAGCUACUAUCUCAGAGUCAAGUCCAUAUUUAGCGCUAAAAUCACAAAAAGUAUUUGUUUGGACAAAGGAUUUAACGCAAUCAAACUUGAAAUUCAUACCUGACUCCUUACCUUCAUCAAACUCCCAAUCUUCAGAGUUGUGUUUAAUUCUUUCCAAUAAAUUCCAUUUGAAGUCAAUAUCUCUCUUCGUAAAAGAACCGGUACAAGAAGUGUCAAGCAUGGUGCGAUUAUCAUGAGAAAGCCGAGCAUAGAAGUUAUGAAUGAUAAUUUCUCUCGAGAGCUCAUGGUUGGGGCAUGAAUAUAACAUUGAUUUAAGCCCCCCCCCCCCAAGCUUGAGCGAUAGUUUCUCUGUCACGAGGCCAAAAAUUAUAAAUAUAAUUCCGAUCACGAUGUACCAAAUGCAUAGGAUAAAACUUUUGAUAAAAUUCCAAUUUCAGUCGGUUGUAGUUCCAUGAUCUAGUAUCAUCACAUAGCCUAUACCAUGUCAAUGCUUUAUCCCCCAAAGAUAAGGGCAAUACCUUCUUCUUGACCUCAUCCUCGGGCAAACCUGAAAGAUUAAAUAAACCACAAACUUCAUCUACAUAGAUUAGAUGCAAGUCGGGAUGUGAUGUUUCAUUUCCUGUAAAAGGAUUAGCCAACAGUUUCUCUAGCAUACCCAAAGGAAUUUCAUAGCAAAUAUUUUCAGUAGGUGCAGCAGGUUGAGGAGCAACUCUUUGUGCUUCCGUUCGAGGUGAAGAUACCCCAAACAAGCUCCUCAAAGGAUUAGUUUCCAUAGUGACAAGUGACAAUAAAUUUCAGCACACUAUAUAAAUGUUUCCUUACCAAAGGCGCUUCACUCCCCGGCAACGGCGCCAGAAAAGAGUCUUGAUGACCCAAAAGUGUAGGGGAUCUAUCGUAGUCCUUUCGAUAAGUAAGAGUGUCAAACCCAACGAGGAGCACAAUGAUCUGACAAGUGGUUUUCAACAAGGUAUUCUCUGCAAGCACUGAAAUUAUCGGUAACAGAUAGUUGUGAUAAGAUGAUUCGUAGAAAGUAGCAAGUAACAAUAGUAACAACGGUGCAGCAAAGUGGCCCAAUCCCUUUUGUAGCAAGGUACAAGCCUGGACAAACUCUUAUAGGAGAUAAAGCGCUCCCGCGGACACAUGGGAAUUUCUGUCAUGCUAGUUUUCAUCAUGUUCAUAAGAUUCGCGUUCGCUACUUUGAUAGUUUGAUAUGUGGGUGGAUCGGUGCUUGGUGCUGCCCUUACUUGGACAAACACCCCACUUAUGAUUAACCCCUCUCGCAAGCAUCCGCAACUACGAAAGAAGAAUUAAGACAAAGUCUAACCAUAGCAUUAAACUAGUGGAUCCAAAUCAGCCCCUUACGAAGCAACACAUAAACUAGGGUUUAAGCUUCUGUCAGUCAAGCAACCCAUCAUCUACUUACUACUUACCAAUGCCUUCCUCUAGGCCCAAAUAAUGGUGAAGUGUUAUGUAGUCGACGUUCACAUAACACCACUAGAGGAAAAACAACAUACAACGCAUCAAAAUAUCGAACGAAUACCAAAUUCACAUGACUACUUAUAGCAAGACCUAUCCCAUGUCCUCAGGAACAAAAGUAACUACUCACAAAGCAUAAUUAUGUUCAUGACCAGAGAGGUAUUGAAUAGCAUCAAGGAUCUAAACAUAUAAUUUUCCACCGAGUAAUCCAACUACCAUCAACUACAAAGAGUAAUCAACACUACUAGCUUAUAUUUUAGAUUCAUUUAAUGGAUGUGGCUUAUAUUUUCUAUGUAAUAUGUAUGCAGUUUGAGAUGAAGAAAUAGAUAUGCAACUGUUGUGCGGUUUCCUUAUUUUAAGGCAGUUGGUGUAGUGGUUGUGCUCUAUUAUAGAGAAGUUGUUGGAACAUAUGUGUCCUAUCAAUGAUUACCGUAAAUAUUUUACAUCUUUUUACGUUAAAAAGGUUCUAAUUUUUUCCCUAAAUCUUAUUGCAACCAUAAUUUGAUGUCCUAAAAUAGGGAAGCUAGCUAUGGGACAUGCUCUAAGAGCAUCUCCAAGAGUCGCGCUAUAUAAGCGUCGCGCUGGAAAAAAGCGUUUUUUGGACGUGCACACCCAACUCGGGCGCUACAGCGGAGGUGGAAAAACCGUGCGCGCUGCAUAAGAGGUUCAGCGCGUGUGACGAAAUAGCAUCACGCCCCGCUUAUUUCGUGCGCCCGCGUGUUGCACACUCGAGCACCCAUGAAACACCUUCUCCUACCUCCCGCUUUCGCUCCGCCCGUGCCCCGCCCGCCUCGCCGCUGGCGGAUUCUCCCGAUGGACGGCUGUGCCGACAUCACCCUCACCCCUCCGUACGCGCGCAGCCCUGCCGCUGCCUCCGCUGCCGUCGCCGUCGGCGCAAAUCCUAGCGCGGGGAGCUUUGGCUUUGCCUCCGCUGGUGCUUCUCCAACCACGGGUCCCACGCGUGGCCUUUUCAUGGCACCACGGACGACCUCGGCAGCGGCUGGCGGCGCCCGCCCUGAAGCCACGUGCCCCCUCCUCGAAGAUCCCAAAUGCAUCGAUGGCGAAGAAGGGCAAGGUCUCUGGGAAGAAGAACAAGGCGGCAAAUGACUCCUCUAGACGACCGAAGAAGAAACUUGCAGUUCGUACGAAGGAUGCGGCGGUGACCGAAGCGCCGGCGAUCUGGCCUUACUGCGUCGACGGGCGAUGCGCACAAUGUGUUCGAUGAAAUACCCCCGAGGUAAAAUCUCACUCAUUUUUUCGAUCUUGUGUUUUGAUGAAUGGAUACAUAUGGAUAGCUUAUUUGGCUUGUUAUACACACUUUGUAGUUUAAAUGGUGGUAUAUAUAUAUGUCAACUAUGGGUGUUGGCUCCAACAAUUCUCAUUGGUCUCAAACCAAUGAGGUGCAUUUCAAUGAUCAUGAAUUUGAGGUGGACGAGGAUGGUGAGGGUAUCGUCAGUGCACCGAAAGGAAGAGCGGGCAACUACACCAUGGACGAAGACGUCUUGCUAUGCAAUACAUGGUUGCAAGUGUCUAGGGAUGUCACCGUUGGAGGGGACCAAAGUAGAGAUGCAUAUUGGAUCCAGAUGAAGGAUCACUUUGAUUUGCAGAAUAAAAGUGGAAUUGACCGCACGGAAAGAUCUCUUCGUUCCCGAUGGUCGACAAUCAACAGAGAUUGUCAAAAGUGGGCGACCACACUUAAGGCGGUUGACACGUUAAACCCAAGUGGCACUAAUGAUAGAGAUAGGGUAAGUUUCAUUUCUUUCAUGAUUCUUCCAUGUUCAUGCUUCUUCUUUGUUCAUGCUUUUUUUGGUGUUUCGAGUGCUAACUUGUUCUUUGUUUGUAGCUCACUAUUGCACAAAACUUAUUUCAAGGAGAGGAGAAGAAGACCAAGAAAGGAAAUAUGAAGAAAGGGAGGCCAUGUACCUUGCCUCAUUGCUAUGAGGUGUUGAAGGAUGAUGAGAAAUGGAAGCCCCAUGAAGGUGUCAAUGAGGAGACCAACAAACACAAGAGAAGUAUUGAUUUGGAUGAUGAUAAGGCGGAGGCUAUUGGAAAUAUGCCCUAGAGGCAAUAAUAAAUUAGUUAUUAUUAUAUUUCUUUGUUCGUAAUAAUCGUUUACUAUCCAUGCUAUAAUUGUAUUGAUUGGAAACACAAAUACAUGUGUGGAUACAUGGACAAAACAUUGUCCCUAGUAAGCCUCUAGUUGACUAGCUCGUUGAUCAAAGAUGGUCAAGGUUUCCUGACCAUAGACAAGUGUUGUCACUUGAUAACGGGAUCACAUCAUUGGAAGAAUGAUGUGAUGGACAAGACCCAAACUAUAAACGUAGUAUAUGAUCGUGUCAGUUUAUUGCUACUGUUUUCUGCAUGUCAAUGUAUCUGUUCCUAUGACCAUCAGAUCAUGCAACUCCCGGACACCGGAGGAAUACCUUGCGUGUAUCAAAUGUAUCAGCGUAACUGGGUGACUAUAAUAGUGCUCUAUAGGUAUCUCCAAAGGUGUCUGUUGGGUUGGCAUGGAUCAAGACUGGGAUUUGUCACUCCGUGUGACGGAGAGGUAUCUCGGGGCCCACUCGGUAAUACAACAUCACAACAAGCCUUGCAAGCAAUGUGACUGAGGAGUUAGUUACGGGAUCUUGUAUUACGGAAUGAGUAAAGAGACUUGCCGGUAACGAGAUUGAACUAGGUAUGGUGAUACUGACGAUCGAAUCUCGGGCAAGUAACAUACCGAAGGACAAAGGGAAUAGUAUACGGGAUUAUAUGAAUCCUUGACAUAGAGGUUCAACCGAUAGAGAUCUUCGUAGAAUAUGUAGGAGCCAAUAUGGACAUCCAGGUCCCGCUAUUGGUUAUUAACCAGAGAGUGUCUCAGGUCAUGUCUGCAUAGUUCUCGAACCCACAGGGUCUUCACACUUAAGAUUCAGUGCAUUUCGGUAUAGUUGAGUUAUAUGUGUUGGUGACCGAAGUUUUGUUCGGAGUCCCGGAUGAGAUCCCGAACGUCACGAGGAGUUACGGAAUGGUCUGGAAACGAAUAUUGAUAUAUAGGAAGUUGGUAUUUGGAUUCCGGAAGGUUUUCGGGCAUUGCCGGCAGUGUACCGGGAAUGACGAAUGGGUUCUGAGGGCCCACUGGGUGGGCCCACCAUGCCCAAGGGGUCCGCAUGGUUUUAUUGGAUGCGCAAUAAGGCAUAAUGGGUUGACAAAGUCAUCCAAGGAAAGCCUUUGAGGAAAAAGUGGAAAAUCCAAAAAAGGUGGGAAAUUAAGGAAGGAGUCCUAAUCCAAGUGGAGUUGGAGGAGGACUCCUCCCUCCUCCACUUCGGCCGACCCAAGGGAGCCUCCCUUGUGGCGCCAAGGCUGCCUCCUCCCUCCUCCUAUAUAUACUACAGGUUUAGGGAUUUUUGAGACACAACUUUGCCACGUGUUGCCCUCUCCUCUAAAUCGUAGUUCUUCCUCUAGAUCGGUUUUCUACGGAGCUCGGGCGGAGCCCUGAAGGAAUAGAUCACCACCACCACCGGAGCGCCGUCGCGCUGCCGGGGAACUCAUCUACAUCCCCGUCUCUCUUUCUGGAUCAAGAAGGCGGAGAUCGUCAUCGAGCUUUACGUGUUCGAAACGCGGAGGUGCCGUCCGUUCGGCACUUGAUCGGGACGGAUCACGAGACGGUUCGUGGGACGGAUUGUGAAGACGUACCACUACAUUAACCACGUUUAUUAACGCUUCCGCUUAGCAAUCUACAAGGGUAUGUGGAUCCGAUCUCCCUCUCGUAGAUGAUCAUCACCAUGAUAGGUCUUCGUGUGCGUAGGAAUUUUUUUGUUUCCCAUGCAACGUUCCCCAACAGAGGCAUCAAGUGAUGACGGCAAGAGAAGCCCUACACCAAACUCGGUUGCCUACUCCAAGCCAAAAAGACCAAAUGGAGGCAAGAAAUACGCAAAAGAAAAGAAGAAGAGGAAAGGUGAUGAUGCGCUAACAAUUGCUAUGGAAGCUAUUGUGAACGCAAGGAAGGAAGCUAACAAGGUGAGGAAAAUGGCAAAGAACCAAGAUGCGGCGGCCGAGGUUAUGAAGUUGGCGGCCUAGGAUAGGAUCGUGGCGACCGAGGAGAGGAAGGUGUCAUUGUAGCAGAAGAAAUUGGCCAUGAAAGAGCGAACUAGAUUGUUGGAAUGGGAGAAAUAAUUGAUCUUCAUGGACACAUCUACCCUUGAUGAGAAGCAAAAGGAGUGCGUUAAUCUUGCUCGUGAAGAAGUGUUGGUACAAAAAAGAAGCAUGAGUGGUUGGGUGGCUUCGGAGCUACCAUUGGAGGCAUGGGAGGCAUGGGUGCCCUAGGAAGCAUGGGAGGCAUGGGAGCACCUCCAACCAUGAGAAGUAUGGGAGGCAUGGGAGCACCUCCAACCAUGGGUGCCAUGGAAAGCAUGGGAGGCAUGGAUGGCUUCGGAGGCAUGAGAGGCAUGAGUUUUGCGUCUCUCAUGGGAGGCAUGUGAGCACCUCCGGGUGACAUGGGAGGCAUGGGAGCACCUCUGGGUGAUAUGGGAGGCAUGGGAGGCAUGAGAGCAUCUCCAGGUGACAUGGGUGUGUCUAACACACAUUCGCAUAAUGCCGUUGAAGAUCUUGCCAACACCUUCCGAGCUCCCCAUGUAGAUGCAGCGCGCGACUAAGAAGAAGAGGAGGAAGAAAUGUCGUCAGAUGAGGAAGAAGAAUUGGAGGAAGAGGAGGACGAAGAUGAGUGGGAUGAGGCAUGUUUGUUGACGUGCCAUUUAUUUGUGUGAAUUUUUAUGUCAUGAACUAGGUUGGGUGAUUUUGAACUUGGUUGGAUGAUGAGAUGUGAUGUGUCAUGUCUCCGAACUUUUUAUGUCAUGAUGAUCUUGAUUGGGUGAUUUAAACUAUGAUAUGCCUUGUUUUGAUGUUUGAAAUAUCACCAAAUUGACAAAAAAAAUGAAUAUGUUGCAAGCGCCGGCUGCUCACGCGCGCGCUGUAGUUUAACGCGCGUGCUGGAGCGGCUCGCGCACGCUAUAUUUUGUGACGGCCGCUGGAGCCAACGCUCUCCGGUGCGCUAAAAAUGACUAUUUCGACGCUGGAAAAUUCUUUUAAUCGCGCGUGGCUGUUGGAUAUGCUCUAAGGUUGGUUUUGAUUUUGUUGGAAAGAAGUUGUUUUGACAUGUAAAUCAUUCCAGUAAUGCUACACGUACAUAAAUUUAAAGGGGGUUUUACAGGCAGGUGAAUUUUGAUUGAAGGUUAAGAGGGAUGAGACCCUACCCACCUUGAAAAUUAGAGGAGAGGUUUUAGCAUUUUUUAAAGGCGGCACCGCUGAACGUCCGAUUUAAAGCUACACCGGGAGUUGCAUGUGCCGUCCAUGGCAACAUCAAGCCUCCAUGAAGCUCCAUAGCAACCCAGCAGCGAGACGAAGCACCGCCGACGUCAGCGAAGUUUCAUUACAGCACCGGCGGAGCUCCAAUGCAGCACCGGCGGUGCUUCAAUGCAACUUCCGUGGCGCUCAUUGCAGCUUUGGCGGCGCUUCACUGCAACUACGACUACCUCACUGAUGCUUCAUCGCAACUCCGGCGAGCCCCAUCUGCUUCACCGUCUGCUGCAACUCGUCACUUCAGCUCCGACGACCCUCGUGCCGCUUCAUCGCAACGCCGGCGAGCCCUCUCUGCUUCAACUGCUACACGCAGCUCCCACCGGCCAUGGCAGCAGCAUGGCCACGUCAAGAACUGCAGGUCGACGCGGGUGCUGCAGCUUGCAAGUUGCAGCCGCCUGCUGCAGACAUCUUGCUCCGACGAGGGUUGAUGGCGGAGAUGCGGUCCGGCUUGCUCCGACGAGGCUAAUAACGAAGUGGUGGAGAGACGGUGCAUCCAGACGAAGGUAGGAGAUGAUAGAUAGAAAGAGUAUCUCGCUGCAUCGCUGGUAAGAUAGAAAAAGAACUGACCACUUACGUUUACACUCGAGAUAAAGGUAAACGCUUAGUAUCUAUAGUCUGGAACGACGCCAUCGCCAGACCGCUCGAAUCGCGUCGAUUCAGAAGAAUCCCGACGCUCCAGAUUUCACCUGCGUUUUGAAUAAUAUGGUAUCUGAAGACCCUGUUCCGUUAAUCUCGCGCGUAAUCAUCUGCAAUUAAUCCCCCACAACCACCGCUCGUGCUCUGCCCCCUCCCUGUCCCCCCACCUCAUGCAUCAUCGCGUGCAGCGACAUCCCCUCCAUCGUCACCAACCAACGACGCCACCAGUACAGGCACCGACCCCGCUGCCCCCACCGGCCACCGACGCCAGCAUCACCGUCCACCGGACCGACCACCGGAGCGUCCAUGCAUCGACAACCCCGCGCCAUCCUCUGCCCCCUCAUCCGUUUCCCCAACUCACCCUCGCCGCCUGCAGCGGAAUCUCCUCCACCGCCACCAGCCAACGUCGUUGCCUCAACAUGCCACAGAACCCGCUGCCCCACCGGCCAUCGACGCAACCAUCACCGCCCACCGACACAUCUAGCUCACCGCCUGUGCUCGACCCGCCCCGCACCACCAGCUCGACCCCCCCUCGGAUCUACCACCACGUCGGCGGCGAGCGGAGCAGGCACCCUCAUUCCAUCCGCACCAUCGCCAAGGCUUCACCCGUCGAUUGAAUCUGCCGCAUUACAUCGGCCGCCAAUUUCUGGAGCUCCCCAUCCCCAGUUCAUAGGUACUCUGUUUUUUUGUGCAUUGUCCCAGAUUUGGGGUUUGUUCUCAUCUUUUUGCAAUGAAAUAUGCUGUCUAAUUCAUCCUAGUAGACUAAAUGUUCCCUAUGUUCAUUCAUGGAAUAACAUUUUGGUUUGAAUUUUUAUACAUGGUACCCGUGCUUCCUAUAUGCGCAAUUUAUAGUUCAAGUACACCCCCAAUAUGCUUCCUAUGUCAAAUGCUUCCAUGCUUUGCAUUAUUGUUUCAAACAUUGUCAUUGUAUGCUCCCUUUUCUAUUUUCGCAAUAUGUUAUAAUCUAAGUUACUUGCUUUCGGUAGAAUUUUACAAAGCUUCAUAGAAUAUCAUUCGGUGCUUCGUCAACAUAAACAGGAGAACAAAACAUGCACCCUUUAAUUUGAUUGCCUGCUUCAAUAGUAUAACCAACACAAAUGCACAUCUUCCUGUUAGUUGCACCCUGAGUGUACCUAUAUUGUUUUAUUUCUUGAAUAGCAUGUCAGGCAUGGCCGCUUUUAUGGAAAAGGGGGUGUUGUUGGUGUCGGUCGACGUCCUCUCCAUUGACGUCGCUAGCACUAGGUUCUGCAGUGUAUGGUUUCUGAUUCGUUCGUUUUAUAGAAAUGCUUCCAUGAAAACCAGCCACUAGGAUAAGCAUCCACUCAAUGGAAGCAACCUACUAAUGCCUGUGUCAUGCGCCAUAUUCAUCGUGUGCCCAUUUUUUAUGCUCCUGUCACGAAACAAAGGAUUCAGUUUUUUGCACUGUAUUUUGCUGUCGUGCCUAAUACAAUACAUCCCAAUAUGCAUCCUGUGUAAAAUCUACACACACAUUGGGCGGCAAAUUUGUUAUGUAUCCCUUUUUUUGAAAACCCCUUGCUUCCAUUGAAUAGCACAAAUGAACCUGGUCGCAUCUGAAAAUUGCAUCACACACAUAUGCGUCUGGAGUGUACGGGUUCUGAUUUGGUUGUUUAUAAAAAUGCUUCCACCCGUAUAAGCAUCCACUCAAUGGAAGCAACUUACUAAUGCCUGUGUCAUGCACCGUAUUCUGAGUCCUCUUAGUGUAACAUAUCCCUCUGCUAAUGUGGCCACUUUUUUGUGCUCCCGUCAUGAAAAAUGCAUUCAUUUUUUUUGCAUUGUAAUUUUGCUGCCGUGCCUAAUACAAGCAUACAAAUUUUGCUAACCCAUCACAUUACUCUUUUUUCUCAGGUGACAAUCAAUAAUGACUAAAAAAGAUAAAGAAUCGCUCAUGCUCCAGAGUCCAUAUGCGGCUGGCCGGUUGUGCUUCCUCAAUGGUCUCAAAGACUAAUCUAACAUAUGGCGCAGCUGGUCGAGUAGUUGUUGCAUCAUUACCACAUGGAGCAUAUGUGUCCCCUUCAAUGUCCUCCAUGAUUUCAUCCCACAAAGAAUUUUUUUUAGCAUCACCAUUGUACACAUGAAAUCGCAGAGCCAAAACAAUGGGCCCAAGUUGAACACAACUGAAACAGAGACCACAUAUGAAUAUAUCUGAACCUAUACGGUUCUACCAGACCACAACAUAUUCUGAACACAGACAACGGCAAUACAGUCUAAGCUUCCAUCAGCAAAUAAAUUUGAAUCUACAGGCAACAAAACGUGCUUCUAACUACUUGCUCUCACAUUCAUCAUACAGAUUCAUCAAGGAUCCCUCAUGUUUGGGUUAAAAACCAGCCAAACAAUGCAUCAGACUACCAACAUACAUCAGAGCUACAAUAAACAUCCGAAAAAGGACAGCUAAAAACUCUGAAUAUGUACCAAGGUGUUCAUGUUACCUCCUCAUCUCCAAUAUUCAGCACAAACGGAUUCAUGUACGUCGGAUUACUCGAAGCCACAACACCCAAAACGCCUUUAAAACCGCUGGUACUACACGAUCCAUGCCGCCAGAUUGCAUCAGAAACCCCCUAUACUUGAUAUCACGUCUUAGAUGCGCCAUUUCUGCAGAUUCUGGUCUCUCAAAGGAAGCAUGCGCGCGGGAGGAAGAGGCACAACAGACGAGCUUUUCUCCCGCGGGAGGAAGACGUAUGUCGAGGGCGUACUUUUAGGGAGAGUUAUUGUGUACGCCCGACCGCUUAAUUACAGGCUUUUAAACCCUCUCAACCUGUACAUCCCACUAAUCUGAUGGAUUCCAUUGCCCCUGAUCCGACGGUGCAUAAAUAGUUUGAUGGAUGCUAAAACGCCUGUAGUCUGAUGCCUAACGCUUUCCCGAGAUAAAAGACUUUGCACGUGUGGUCCACACCACGCGUGGCGUCCACGCCAAAUCAGCCGGAUGAUUCAGAUCGUUUUCCUUUUGCAAAGGGAAACGUUUCCCCCCUGGCGCGCCGGCCGAAUCGUUCGGCCGGUCGCGCGCGGGUCGCGCUAGCUGGCAGGUGUAUGCAUCAUUUUUCUGUAAAAAUUGCUGCAAUCGUGUAUUUUUUUGUUACAAAUGUUUUUUAUGCAGCUUUUUUCUCGUGUAAAUUUGUUGCGACCAACGUUCAUAUUUGCUACAAGCGUUUUUUAUUUACUAGAUUUGUACAGUAAAAAAGUUGCAUAUACGUUUGGUUGCAACUCGAGUUCGUUGAAUUUUUGCUACAACCGGCGUUUUGACUUUUGCUACAACCGUGCUAUUUUUUGCUAUAACCGGCAUCAUUUUUUGCUGCAACCGUUCGCUGAAAAAGUUGCAUACACGUCAUGUAGAUUUUUGCUACAAUCGGCGUUUAACUUUUGCUACCACGCAUCAUCUUCUUUGUUUUUUUGCUACGAUCAUGUAGAUAUUUUUUUGCUAUAAUUAAUUUUUUGUUGCAACCGUUGCGAAAAAUGCUGCAUAGCGUCGAAAUUUGUUGCAAGAUCUGACGGUCCCUGUGCAUAUCGGACGGUCAGCCUGCGACCGGCGCUGGCGCUCGCGCCGGCGCGCCGGCGCCUAGUACUCCCCUUUGCUUUUGCAAAUCAUUCGGCAUUCUGUAGCUUAUCAUACUCUGUUCUUCGGCCCCGCUGUUCUUCCUCCCAAACCCCCGUAUGUAGAACCCGAGCCAGCAGCCAUGCUCCGUCGCCUCCUACUCCGCCAUGCCCGUCGGCUCCAUUACUCCUCCUCAUUCUCCUCCGCCUUACCCCUCUCCUCGCCGACCUUCGCUGUCUUCGGCGCCAACACCGGCGUCGGCAAGACCCUCGUCUCCGCUGGCCUCGCCGCCUCCCUCCUCCGUUCCCACGCCGCUUCCCCCUCUGCCGUCCUCUACCUCAAACCGCUCCAGACCGGCUUCCCCGACGAUUCCGACGCGGGGUUCCUCUACCGCAGGGUCCCCGCGCUUCUCCGCCCCUCCCACGCCGCGCACCUCGCCGCCUCCAUCGACACCCUCUCCCCUGCCCCGUCAGUGGAAACCCAAUCCCCUUCCCGCGAGGAGGCGGCCUUCUCCUACGACGGGGAGGGUGAGGCGGUGAGGAAGCUUCUGGCUUGCAGGACGCUGUACGCAUGGCGGGAGGCGGUGUCGCCGCACCUGGCGGCGGAGAGGGAGGGGAUGGCGGUAGAAGACGCGCAUGUGAGGUCGCUCCUGGCAGCGUGCCUCGUCGAGGGGGAAAAUUUGGGGAAGGGGGAGGGGGAUGUGUGGAAGCUGGUCGAGACUGCCGGCGGCGUGGCCAGCCCGGG
RNAcentral lists this long non-coding RNA (35865 nucleotides) under Hordeum vulgare. Its description in RNAcentral is "long non-coding RNA (HVUL_LNC015263)". The record is from RNAcentral. Lineage: Eukaryota; Viridiplantae; Streptophyta; Magnoliopsida; Poales; Poaceae.